GACGAACGCUGGCGGCGUGCCUAAUACAUGCAAGUAGAACGCUGAAGGAGGAGCUUGCUUCUCUGGAUGAGUUGCGAACGGGUGAGUAACGCGUAGGUAACCUGCCUGGUAGCGGGGGAUAACUAUUGGAAACGAUAGCUAAUACCGCAUAAGAGUAGAUGUUGCAUGACAUUUGCUUAAAAGUUGCAAUUGCAUCACUACCAGAUGGACCUGCGUGGUAUUAGCUAGUUGGUGGGGUAACGGCUUACAAGGAGGCGAAACCUAGCAGAACGGGGUGGGGGCUCAGCCAGACUGGGAGGGAGACACGCCACAGACUCAUAGGGGAGGGAGCAGUAGGGAAUCUUCGGCAAGCGACGGAAGUCUGACCGAGAAACGCCGCGUGAGUGAAGAAGGAUUUCGGAUCGUAAAGCUCUGUUGUAAGAGAAGAAAGAGUGUGAGAGUGGAAAGUUCACACUGUGACGGUAUCUUACCAGAAAGGGACGGCUAACUACGUG
This 494-nucleotide ribosomal RNA is filed under the name uncultured bacterium. RNAcentral describes it as "partial 16S ribosomal RNA". It matches the Rfam family "Bacterial small subunit ribosomal RNA", at positions 28 to 507 of the family's 1533-position model. The record is from RNAcentral.